RNAcentral lists this long non-coding RNA (207 nucleotides) under Setaria viridis. Its description in RNAcentral is "long non-coding RNA (SVIR_LNC004222)". Lineage: Eukaryota; Viridiplantae; Streptophyta; Magnoliopsida; Poales; Poaceae. The record is from RNAcentral.
CUGGCAGCAGAACGCUGGAGUUCAACUCCAGCCGAUAGGAGGCCACGCACCCCCAGCUUUUGGAGUCCAGCCGAUUGCCCAGUUGCCACAUCGGCAGGCUGGGGUUUAGCAUCAUGACGGACAUUAGCAGGUUGAUUGGGUGAAUUAGAUAGCCGAUGUGAUUCAGAAUCAUUUCGGUUUGAAACCCAGGGAGCAGGGAGCAGGAGU